AGAACGAACGCUGGCGGCAUGCCUAACACAUGCAAGUCGAACGAAGCCUUCGGGCUUAGUGGCGCACGGGUGCGUAACACGUGGGAAUCUGCUCUUAGGUACGGAAUAACUCAGGGAAACUUGAGCUAAUACCGUAUGAUGUCUUCGGACCAAAGAUUUAUCGCCUAAGGAUGAGCCCGCGUCGGAUUAGCUAGUUGGUGGGGUAAAGCCUACCAAGGCGACGAUCCGUAGCUGGUCUGAGAGAUGAUCAGCCACACGUGGACUGAGACACGGCCCUGACUCCGUACGGGAGCAGCAGUGGGGAAUAGUUGGAACAAGUGGGACGAAAGCCUGAUCCAGCAA
This 342-nucleotide ribosomal RNA is filed under the name uncultured soil bacterium. RNAcentral describes it as "bacterial SSU rRNA". It matches the Rfam family "Bacterial small subunit ribosomal RNA", at positions 26 to 394 of the family's 1533-position model. The record is from RNAcentral.